AUGAACCAGCUAUUCCGGCUAGACAGCCGAGGCCUAAACCGCAUCAACACAGCCAUCGUGGUCCUAAUCCCGAAGAAGCAAGGGGCGGACACCUUGACAGACUUUAGACCGAUUUCACUACUACAUAGUCUGAUCAAAAUCUUAACGAAAAUCCUGGCAAGCAGACUUGUGCCCAAGCUAGAGGGUUUGGUUGACCAAUGCCAGAGUGCAUUCAUCAAAAAACGC
This 225-nucleotide ribosomal RNA is filed under the name Triticum aestivum (bread wheat). RNAcentral's name for it is "partial small subunit ribosomal RNA". The record is from RNAcentral. Lineage: Eukaryota; Viridiplantae; Streptophyta; Magnoliopsida; Poales; Poaceae.